This 443-nucleotide ribosomal RNA is filed under the name uncultured Pseudomonas sp. RNAcentral's name for it is "bacterial SSU rRNA". It matches the Rfam family "Bacterial small subunit ribosomal RNA", at positions 49 to 489 of the family's 1533-position model. The record is from RNAcentral. Lineage: Bacteria; Pseudomonadati; Pseudomonadota; Gammaproteobacteria; Pseudomonadales; Pseudomonadaceae.
CUACCAUGCAGUCGAGCGGUAGAGAGAAGCUUGCUUCUCUUGAGAGCGGCGGACGGGUGAGUAAUGCCUAGGAAUCUGCCUGGUAGUGGGGGAUAACGUUCGGAAACGGACGCUAAUACCGCAUACGUCCUACGGGAGAAAGCAGGGGACCUUCGGGCCUUGCGCUAUCAGAUGAGCCUAGGUCGGAUUAGCUAGUUGGUGGGGUAAUGGCUCACCAAGGCGACGAUCCGUAACUGGUCUGAGAGGAUGAUCAGUCACACUGGAACUGAGACACGGUCCAGACUCCUACGGGAGGCAGCAGUGGGGAAUAUUGGACAAUGGGCGAAAGCCUGAUCCAGCCAUGCCGCGUGUGUGAAGAAGGUCUUUGGAUUGUAAAGCACUUUAAGUUGGGAGGAAGGGUUGUAGAUUAAUACUCUGCAAUUUUGACGUUACCGACAGAAUAA